ACGAACGCUGGCGGCGUGCUUAACACAUGCAAGUCGAACGGAAAGGCCCUGCUUGCAGGGUACUCGAGUGGCGAACGGGUGAGUAACACGUGGGUGAUCUGCCCUGCACUUCGGGAUAAGCCUGGGAAACUGGGUCUAAUACCGGAUAGGAGCCAUUUUUAGUGUGAUGGUUGGAAAGUUUUUUCGGUGUAGGAUGAGCUCGCGGCCUAUCAGCUUGUUGGUGGGGUAAUGGCCUACCAAGGCGGCGACGGGUAGCCGGCCUGAGAGGGUGGACGGCCACAUUGGGACUGAGAUACGGCCCAGACUCCUACGGGAGGCAGCAGCGGGGAAUAUUGCACAAUGGGCGCAAGCCUGAUGCAGCGACGCCGCGUGGGGGAUGACGGCCUUCGGGUUGUAAACUCCUUUCGCUAGGGACGAAGCUUUUUGUGACGGUACCUAGAUAAGAAGCACCGGCUAACUACGUG
Molecule: ribosomal RNA, 464 nt
Filed under: uncultured bacterium
Lineage: Bacteria
Description: partial 16S ribosomal RNA
Rfam family: Bacterial small subunit ribosomal RNA
Source: RNAcentral